UUACGGCCAUAUCACGUUGAAAAACCGGUUCCCGUAAGAUCACCGAAGAUAAGCAACGUCGAGCCUGGUCAGUACCUAGAUGGGUGACCGCUUGGGAAUAUCAGGUGCUGUAGG
Molecule: ribosomal RNA, 114 nt
Filed under: Acanthosepion pharaonis
Lineage: Eukaryota; Metazoa; Mollusca; Cephalopoda; Sepiida; Sepiidae
Source: RNAcentral